GUACAAAACACAGAAAAAGGGAGGCUAAGAAUACCAUAGAAAAUGGAGAAGCAAAAGAACUUAUAUGUACAACUUAUAGACAUGAACUAAUGAGGAGGGAAUGCUGG
Long non-coding RNA from Phyllostomus discolor (pale spear-nosed bat), 107 nucleotides. RefSeq lists it as uncharacterized. Lineage: Eukaryota; Metazoa; Chordata; Mammalia; Chiroptera; Phyllostomidae. The transcript has 3 exons. The record is from RefSeq and is a predicted model, not a curated record.